AGAGUUUGAUCCUGGCUCAGAACGAACGCUGGCGGCAGGCCUAACACAUGCAAGUCGAGCGCGCCUCUUCGGAGGCGAGCGGCGCACGGGUGAGUAACGCGUGGGAACCUACCCUGGGGUAGGGGAUAACCGCUGGAAACGGCGGCUAAUACCCUAUACGUCCUUCGGGAGAAAGAUUUAUUGCCCUGGGAUGGGCCCGCGUUGGAUUAGCUUGUUGGUGGGGUAAAAGCCUACCAAGGCGACGAUCCAUAGCUGGUCUGAGAGGAUGAUCAGCCACACUGGGACUGAGACACGGCCCAGACUCCUACGGGAGGCAGCAGUGGGGAAUAUUGGACAAUGGGCGCAAGCCUGAUCCAGCCAUGCCGCGUGAGUGAAGAAGGCCUUAGGGUUGUAAAGCUCUUUCACCCGCGAAGAUGAUGACGGUAGCGGGAGAAGAAGCCCCGGCUAACUCCGUGCCAGCAGCCGCGGUAAUACGGAGGGGGCAAGCGUUGUUCGGAUUUACUGGGCGUAAAGGGCGCGUAGGUGGAUGUUCAUGUCAGAGGUGAAAGCCCCGGGCUCAACCUGGGAAUUGCCUUUGAAACGGGGCAUCUGGAGUUCGGAAGAGGGUAGCGGAAUUCCCAGUGUAGAGGUGAAAUUCGUAGAUAUUGGGAAGAACACCAGUGGCGAAGGCGGCUACCUGGUCCGACACUGACACUGAGGC
This 700-nucleotide ribosomal RNA is filed under the name uncultured bacterium. Its description in RNAcentral is "bacterial SSU rRNA". It matches the Rfam family "Bacterial small subunit ribosomal RNA", at positions 8 to 752 of the family's 1533-position model. The record is from RNAcentral.